AUUGAACGCUGGCGGCAGGCUUAACACAUGCAAGUCGAGCGGGGUGAUGGUGCUUGCACUAUCACUUAGCGGCGGACGGGUGAGUAAUGCUUAGGAAUCUGCCUAUUAGUGGGGGACAACAUCUCGAAAGGGAUGCUAAUACCGCAUACGUCCUACGGGAGAAAGCAGGGGAUCACUUGUGACCUUGCGCUAAUAGAUGAGCCUAAGUCGGAUUAGCUAGUUGGUGGGGUAAAGGCCUACCAAGGCGACGAUCUGUAGCGGGUCUGAGAGGAUGAUCCGCCACACUGGGACUGGGACACGGCCCAGACUCCGACGGGAGGCAGCAGUGGGGAAUAUUGGACAAUGGGGGGAACCCUGAUCCAGCCAUGCCGCGUGUGUGAAGAAGGCCUUAUGGUUGUAAAGCACUUCAAGCGAGGAGGAGGCUCUUUUGGUUAAUACCCAAGAUGAGUGGACGUUACUCGCAGAAUAAGCACCGGCUAACUCUGUGCCAGCCGCCGCCGUAA
This 503-nucleotide ribosomal RNA is filed under the name uncultured bacterium. RNAcentral describes it as "partial 16S ribosomal RNA". It matches the Rfam family "Bacterial small subunit ribosomal RNA", at positions 30 to 523 of the family's 1533-position model. The record is from RNAcentral.